UGGGGAAUAUUGGACAAUGGGCGCAAGCCUGAUCCAGCCAUGCCGCGUGAGUGAUGAAGGCCUUAGGGUUGUAAAGCUCUUUCGCCGGUGAAGAUAAUGACGGUAACCGGAGAAGAAGCCCCGGCUAACUUCGUGCCAGCAGCCGCGGUAAUACGAAGGGGGCUAGCGUUGCUCGGAAUCACUGGGCGUAAAGCGCACGUAGGCGGAUCGUUAAGUCAGGGGUGAAAUCCUGGAGCUCAACUCCAGAACUGCCCUUGAUACUGGCGAUCUCGAGUUCGAGAGAGGUUGGUGGAACUCCGAGUGUAGAGGUGAAAUUCGUAGAUAUUCGGAAGAACACCAGUGGCGAAGGCGGCCAACUGGCUCGAUACUGACGCUGAGGUGCGAAAGCGUGGGGAGCAAAACAGGAUUAGAUACCCUGGUAGUCCACGCCGUAAACGAUGGAUGCUAGCCGUUGGGGGGUUUACCUCUCAGUGGCGCAGCUAACGCCUUAAGCAUCCCGCCUGGGGAGUACGGUCGCAAGAUUAAAAACUCAAA
RNAcentral lists this ribosomal RNA (534 nucleotides) under uncultured bacterium. RNAcentral describes it as "partial 16S ribosomal RNA". It matches the Rfam family "Bacterial small subunit ribosomal RNA", at positions 355 to 905 of the family's 1533-position model. The record is from RNAcentral.